GGUAGAAUUCAUUAACAGCAGCUUUCCCCUAAUGCACUUAAAAGAAUCACAUACAAUAACUGAUGUUUCUAAUGGCUCAGCAUUGUGUCCCCAGCCGAGAACGAGGACAUGGUGUCCACAGACUUAAUUCCUGCCUGACUUGGAUUAAGCCUUCAGACUGCAUCACCACCUCCCCGAAGGCUCUCAGAAGCACCUGCUACUGAUAGCCUGGCAUUAAAUACUGUCUGCAAGGUUACACACUGAUGCUGACCUCCCAAUUCCUGGUAAUAAACAUGAUUGGCUCAAAAGAA
Molecule: long non-coding RNA, 290 nt
Organism: Peromyscus eremicus (cactus mouse)
Lineage: Eukaryota; Metazoa; Chordata; Mammalia; Rodentia; Cricetidae
Exons: 2
Source: RefSeq, a predicted model, not a curated record